GACGAACGCUGGCGGCGUGCCUAAUACAUGCAAGUUGAGCGCUGAAGGUUGGUACUUGUACCCACUGGAUGAGCAGCGAACGGGUGAGUAACGCGUGGGGAAUCUGCCUUUGAGCGGGGGACAACAUUUGGAAACGAAUGCUAAUACCGCAUAAAAACUUUAAACACAAGUUUUAAGUUUGAAAGAUGCAAUUGCAUCACUCAAAGAUGAUCCCGCGUUGUAUUAGCUAGUUGGUGAGGUAAAGGCCCACCAAGGCGAUGAUACAUAGCCGACCUGAGAGGGUGACCGGCCACAUUGGGACUGAGACACGGCCCAAACUCCUACGGGAGGCAGCAGUAGGGAAUCUUCGGCAAUGGACGAAAGUCUGACCGAGCAACGCCGCGUGAGUGAAGAAGGUUUUCGGAUCGUAAAACUCUGUUGGUAGAGAAGAACGUUGGUGAGAGUGGAAAGCUCAUCAAGUGACGGUAACUACCCAGAAAGGGACGGCUAACUACGUG
This 497-nucleotide ribosomal RNA is filed under the name uncultured bacterium. RNAcentral describes it as "partial 16S ribosomal RNA". It matches the Rfam family "Bacterial small subunit ribosomal RNA", at positions 28 to 507 of the family's 1533-position model. The record is from RNAcentral.